RNAcentral lists this ribosomal RNA (419 nucleotides) under bacterium. Its description in RNAcentral is "partial 16S ribosomal RNA". It matches the Rfam family "Bacterial small subunit ribosomal RNA", at positions 355 to 776 of the family's 1533-position model. The record is from RNAcentral.
UGGGGGAUAUUGCACAAUGGGCGAAAGCCUGAUGCAGCGACGCCGCGUGGGGGAUGAAGGCCUUCGGGUUGUAAACUUCCUUUGCUCUGAACAAGGCGCACCAUGGGGUGUGUUGAGUGUAGGGGUUGAUUAGCGCCGGCUAACUACGUGCCAGCAGCCGCGGUAAUACGUAGGGCGCGAGCGUUGUCCGGAAUUAUUGGGCGUAAAGGGCUUGUAGGUGGCUGGUUGCGUCUGUCGUGAAAGCUCAUGGCUUAACUGUGGGUUUGCGGUGGGUACGGGCUGGCUUGAGUGCAGUAGGGGAGGCUGGAAUUCCUGGUGUAGCGGUGGAAUGCGCAGAUAUCAGGAGGAAUACCGGUGGCGAAGGCGGGUCUCUGGGCUGUUACUGACACUGAGGAGCGAAAGCAUGGGGAGCGAACAGG